GUUUAUUCUGCGUGGCGUGUGACACGAUACGACAACUCUCACCUCGUUGUCACGCGACUCUUGUCACUCGAUUCCGAUUGUCGUCUCGAGUGAGGUGAGAGCUUCAUUUUAGAUGUGAGAAACCAAAUGAACCAAAACAAAUGUGGUGUUCAUUUGUAGAACUGUCAAAUCGGCGGUGCAUCAAGAAUGCGCUUUGAUUACGGCUUAUUCGAAAAGCGGUAUUUUCAUUGUUAUUUAAAUUUAAUAUGUUUUUAAUAUUUUCACGUAAUAAACACGAAAUAUUAACCGCAUAAAGAAAAGUUAUAUGAGAUUCAAUAAUUAUGAGGUACUUCACAACUUUCAAAGUGAGUAUUUUCCAUUAUUUUGGUGUCGCAAACAUUUCAGGCGUUUGGACCUUAUUUAAAAUUAUUCGCGUGCCUUGUGUUAUUGAACUCCAAGAAACUUCCGCAAAUUUUCGUUUUUGCUCAUGGAUAGUUUGAUCCAUGGUAAUAUUUUAGAAUUACUAAAGCCGGAAGUUCCGGCCCCGAACCCGCAUGCUGACUGUGGCAGAAGUUUGAUGACGGAGAUUCUUAUUUUGAGACCUCAUCGACGGUUUCGGCCGCGGUCGUGCAGCGGAAAUAGUGAAGGUGUCCCCGGUGUCCCGUACCGUAUAGACGGAACCAUUGGAUGAAAUUGAAAACAUCCAGUCUCUCUACCUUCCGGUCGUACCAGUUUGGUGAUUUCCAACUAAUAGCAAGAACUUCCAAGUACAGCUGUGAAAUGGAUUUUCUUCGGUGGAAUCUACAUCAUACAAGUGGAUGCUGGGACUGCCGUUGGGCUGAAUUAUUAAUUGAAAUUGUUGUGGACACAAAAGGACCAAGUACUAAAAUGUGUAAAUGCUUCAAGAUCAUACGUGACAAAGUAUAAUAAAAGUAUUCCACGAUGCUGUGGAUAUCUAUUGCUUAAAA
Aedes albopictus (Asian tiger mosquito) is the source of this 947-nucleotide long non-coding RNA. RefSeq lists it as uncharacterized. NCBI's taxonomy places the organism in Eukaryota, Metazoa, Arthropoda, Insecta, Diptera, Culicidae. The transcript is spliced from 2 exons. The record is from RefSeq and is a predicted model, not a curated record.